GAUGAACGCUGGCGGCGUGCCUAAUACAUGCAAGUCGAGCGAACAGACGAGGAGCUUGCUCCUCUGACGUUAGCGGCGGACGGGUGAGUAACACGUGGAUAACCUACCUAUAAGACUGGGAUAACUUCGGGAAACCGGAGCUAAUACCGGAUAAUAUAUUGAACCGCAUGAUUCAAUAGUGAAAGACGGUUUUGCUGUCACUUAUAGAUGGAUCCGCGCCGCAUUAGCUAGUUGGUAAGGUAACGGCUUACCAAGGCAACGAUGCGUAGCCGACCUGAGAGGGUGAUCGGCCACACUGGAACUGAGACACGGUCCAGACUCCGACGGGAGGCAGCAGUAGGGAAUCUUCCGCAAUGGGCGAAAGCCUGACGGAGCAACGCCGCGUGAGUGAUGAAGGUCUUCGGAUCGUAAAACUCUGUAAUUAGGGAAGAACAAAUGUGUAAGUAACUAUGCACGUCUUGACGGUACCUAAUCAGAAAGCCACGGCUAACUACGUG
This 497-nucleotide ribosomal RNA is filed under the name uncultured bacterium. Its description in RNAcentral is "partial 16S ribosomal RNA". It matches the Rfam family "Bacterial small subunit ribosomal RNA", at positions 28 to 507 of the family's 1533-position model. The record is from RNAcentral.